Sphaerodactylus townsendi is the source of this 104-nucleotide long non-coding RNA. RefSeq lists it as uncharacterized. The transcript has 3 exons. NCBI's taxonomy places the organism in Eukaryota, Metazoa, Chordata, Lepidosauria, Squamata, Sphaerodactylidae. The record is from RefSeq and is a predicted model, not a curated record.
ACUGCAAUUUUUUUUGGAAUACCUUUGGAAAACCUAUUCAAACAGAUAAACGAUAGCAGGGUUUGAAAUCUAAAAGAAAACAGCAGAAUGUAUUAGAAUAUUAG